UGGGGAAUCUUGCGCAAUGGGCGAAAGCCUGACGCAGCCAUGCCGCGUGAAUGAUGAAGGUCUUAGGAUUGUAAAAUUCUUUCACCGGGGACGAUAAUGACGGUACCCGGAGAAGAAGCCCCGGCUAACUUCGUGCCAGCAGCCGCGGUAAUACGAAGGGGGCUAGCGUUGCUCGGAAUUACUGGGCGUAAAGGGAGCGUAGGCGGACUGUUAAGUUAGAGGUGAAAGCCCAGGGCUCAACCUUGGAAGUGCCUUUGAUACUGGCAGUCUUGAGUACGGAAGAGGUAUGUGGAACUCCGAGUGUAGAGGUGAAAUUCGUAGAUAUUCGGAAGAACACCAGUGGCGAAGGCGACAUACUGGUCCGUUACUGACGCUGAGGCUCGAAAGCGUGGGGAGCAAACA
This 402-nucleotide ribosomal RNA is filed under the name uncultured bacterium. Its description in RNAcentral is "partial 16S ribosomal RNA". It matches the Rfam family "Bacterial small subunit ribosomal RNA", at positions 355 to 774 of the family's 1533-position model. The record is from RNAcentral.